Gossypium arboreum is the source of this 142-nucleotide non-coding RNA. NCBI's taxonomy places the organism in Eukaryota, Viridiplantae, Streptophyta, Magnoliopsida, Malvales, Malvaceae. The record is from Rfam.
UAUUAAAAAUUUCUUCCAUUUCUAUUAUUAAAAACUGCCGUGGCUGACAAAUAAUCAAAUAGUUACACUUGGCGUGCCACAUGUACCUCAUUUUGACGUACAGGGACCAAUUUUUAACAGUGAAUGGAUGAAAUUUUGAACA